RNAcentral lists this ribosomal RNA (434 nucleotides) under uncultured bacterium. RNAcentral's name for it is "partial 16S ribosomal RNA". It matches the Rfam family "Bacterial small subunit ribosomal RNA", at positions 29 to 507 of the family's 1533-position model. The record is from RNAcentral.
AACGAACGCUGGCGGCAUGCCUAACACAUGCAAGUCGAACGAGAUCUUCGGGUCUAGUGGCGCACGGGUGCGUAACGCGUGGGAAUCUGCCCUCAGGUUCGGAAUAACCAUUGGAAACGAUGGCUAAUACCGGAUGAUGACGUUAAGUCCAAAGAUUUAUCGCCUGAGGAUGAGCCCGCGUAGGAUUAGCUAGUUGGUGUGGUAAAGGCGCACCAAGGCGACGAUCCUUAGCUGGUCUGAGAGGAUGAUCAGCCACACUGGGACUGAGACACGGCCCAGACUCCUACGGGAGGCAGCAGUGGGGAAUAUUGGACAAUGGGCGAAAGCCUGAUCCAGCAAUGCCGCGUGAGUGAUGAAGGCCUUAGGGUUGUAAAGCUCUUUUACCCGGGAUGAUAAUGACAGUACCGGGAGAAUAAGCUCCAGCUAACUCCGUG